GUGCGUGUCAAUGGUGAUGAGGGUACACCUGUUCCCAUUCCGAACACAGUAGUUAAGCUCAUUUACGGUGACAAUACUUGGCUGGCGACGGCCCGGGAAGAUAACUCGACGCGCACA
Molecule: ribosomal RNA, 117 nt
Organism: Butyricicoccus pullicaecorum 1.2
Lineage: Bacteria; Bacillati; Bacillota; Clostridia; Eubacteriales; Butyricicoccaceae
Source: Rfam